This is a long non-coding RNA of Rhineura floridana, 2097 nucleotides long. RefSeq lists it as uncharacterized. Lineage: Eukaryota; Metazoa; Chordata; Lepidosauria; Squamata; Rhineuridae. The transcript is spliced from 5 exons. The record is from RefSeq and is a predicted model, not a curated record.
AUAUAUACUGUCAAUGUAAAAGUCUUGUCUCAACUUGGGUGGUCGAAGCGGAGGACGCCCCCAAUUUGCCUCAUUGCUGAUGCACGUGAAAGAGCGCCGCUGCAUUCCCAGCGAUAUUGUUGCUCCUAAUCAAUCUGUCCUUCCUUAUUUACAUUCGUAAGCAUUGUUACCUUUAAUAUCCAUGGCCCACGCAUGUAGCUGCGCCUGGACAGCAGGAUUUGUCAACUUCAAGGAAUCACGAGGCUCCUGUGGAUUUAAGAAAUACUGAGCGCUGCCUUUUUUUUUUUUUAAUAUUGAGGGAGGCCUGUCGCACUCCAUGCGGGCUAUACGGACCGGGCCUGGUGUUCUUUACAUCUUGCUUUUCCACGUGGCCUGAGAGAGGGGAGGGACAAGGAGCCCAAGACCUCCAGCGCGCACAGGCCAGUAAUCUCCUCAGCUGGCCCUUUCUUCCACGACUCGCGCUCGAGCUUAUACAUCAUCUUGUGUAGCACGGGAUCUGCAUUUCAUUAGAAACCACUGGCACCACAACAAGCGCCCUUCCACCGCACAAACAAUAGCGCACGCAAAUCGCAAAUGCACGCCUACCAGCCACCAUAGAGAAGUCCUCCUAGGUGGCAAGAUACUCCCAGUGUUUCCAUCUGCCCUUGCUAUACAUAGAUCGUCAAGGGCGGCCUUGCAGCCUCCGGUUACGUUCAUAAAGUGAGACGAUGUUGAAAUAAACCACCUGCCUUAAGGAGAGGAAAGAGAGGCAAGACAUGAAACUGUACAAGGAACUGACCAGGGCGGUUUUGUAUCCUCUUUAGUUGUCCAUGUGCGCAGUGUGCGUGACAGACGCGCAGACUGAUCCAAUGCAUGUUUACUCGGAGUCAAGUCCCCCUGUAUUCAGUGGACCUGACUCGCUGAUACAGCGUGCAUAGGAUUACAAUUUAUUUUUAUAAAUAAGGACAUUGUCAUUUGCAAAGGGAACUCGAGUACAAAGCUAUAUUCCCAGGCCUCACUGGCCCGACCCAGAUGUGCUUAUCUUCAUGAAGGUCGCCUUGCCUGCUACAUCAUACGCCUUCAGGCUGUAACUUCUGACAGAGGACUGCUAAGUAUACUUCUGGGAUGAGUGGACAGUCUUUCAGAUAACUGGAUGUGUUUUCCUUGUUAGUUUUGAACCUAGUAGCUACUGGAGCCAGACUCAACUAUUUAGUGCCUAGGAAAGCUCUCAAUCACAUGGUUCCUAAAGUAGCAUAGUGCUGUUUUGUCUUCCUGUUACACACUUUAAAUACUUUGUUUGUUUUAAUAUGCAUACUAGGUAAGGGAAUAUCAGCCUGUGCCUGAAUGGGUUAAAAACAGCCCACCUUUCCUUCAAGGAGCUCAAGAUGACAUACAUGGUUCUUCUCUCCAUUCUGUCCUAACAACAACCCUGUGAGGCAGGCUGCUAAUCCGGUUUACACAUCACGCCUCCAUCUCUGAAUAGGGCUUUAUACACUGCAGCAAAGGCAGAGGAAAUAAAAGAAACCCAUUUUCCAGGAAGAAAGCCCAGGCUGUCCUAUGGAAGCUUCUACAUAACAACACUUCCAUUGAUUUCUGAAGGACUUGGAACACAGGUACACCCACUGAACACACCGUGCCCUGUAAACUGUGGACCACAGUUUGCUUGAAGAAAACAGAAAGAAGCAUGGGAACACAAGUUGGUGUUGAAAAGUUCCCUGUUCUAAUGGUGGUACCAACAGCCAAAGGAGAAGACAGGUUGCACCGAAGCCAAGGUUAGGUUGGAAAGCUCCAGUAUCUAGCAUGUUUUGAAUGGUUCACAAACUACCCACACCGACAGUGUGGUCCAGAGUGUUGGACUAGGACCCAGGAGAAGGACAUCUGGGUUUCAAGCCUUGAGGGCACCCACAAAACUCACUGGGUGGCCCAGUCACUGUCUAUAAUGCUCCAUCCUAAACACACCUACUUGGGAGCAAGACAGUCUAACUGGUUUAAAAAGAACUUACUUUCUGCUAAAUAGUAUGGUUAGGUAGCAGGCCCAAACUUCAGAGUUCCAUCUAUAAAAUGGGAAUAAUGACCUGUUUCUUGAGGCUGUUGUGAGGAUAUAGCAAAUAAAUACUG